This 558-nucleotide ribosomal RNA is filed under the name uncultured Glomus. Its description in RNAcentral is "SSU rRNA". It matches the Rfam family "Eukaryotic small subunit ribosomal RNA", at positions 546 to 1106 of the family's 1831-position model. The record is from RNAcentral. Lineage: Eukaryota; Fungi; Glomeromycota; Glomeromycetes; Glomerales; Glomeraceae.
AAUUGGAGGGCAAGUCUGGUGCCAGCAGCCGCGGUAAUUCCAGCUCCAAUAGCGUAUAUUAAAGUUGCUGCAGUUAAAAAGCUCGUAGUUGAAUUUCGGGACCAAUAUGUCGGUCGUGCUUCGGUACGUACUGUCAUAAUUGGUUUCUCCCUUCUGAAGAACCUUGAUGUCAUUAAUUUGGUGUCUUGGGGAAUCAGGACUGUUACUUUGAAAAAAUUAGAGUGUUUAAAGCAGGCUCGCGCUUGAAUACAUUAGCAUGGAAUAAUGAAAUAGGACGUUUGAUUCUAUUUUGUUGGUUUCUAGGAUCGACGUAAUGAUUAAUAGGGAUAGUUGGGGGCAUUAGUAUUCAAUUGUCAGAGGUGAAAUUCUUGGAUUUAUUGAAGACUAACUACUGCGAAAGCAUUUGCCAAGGAUGUUUUCAUUAAUCAAGAACGAAAGUUAGGGGAUCGAAGACGAUCAGAUACCGUCGUAGUCUUAACCAUAAACUAUGCCGACUAGGGAUCGGAUGAUGUUAAUUUUUUAAUGACUCAUUCGGCGCCUUACGGGAAACCAAAGUGU